Molecule: ribosomal RNA, 524 nt
Filed under: uncultured bacterium
Lineage: Bacteria
Description: partial 16S ribosomal RNA
Rfam family: Bacterial small subunit ribosomal RNA
Source: RNAcentral
GACGAACGCUGGCGGCGUGCCUAAUACAUGCAAGUCGAGCGCAGGAAACUGACGGAACUCUUCGGAGGGAAGGCAGUGGAAUGAGCGGCGGACGGGUGAGUAACACGUAAGGAACCUGCCUCAAGGAUUGGGAUAACUCCGAGAAAUCGGAGCUAAUACCGGAUAGUUCAACGGACCGCAUGGUCCGCUGAUGAAAGGCGCUCCGGCGUCACCUUGAGAUGGCCUUGCGGUGCAUUAGCUAGUUGGUGGGGUAACGGCCCACCAAGGCGACGAUGCAUAGCCGACCGGAGAGGGUGAUCGGCCACACUGGGACUGAGACACGGCCCAGACUCCUACGGGAGGCAGCAGUAGGGAAUCUUCCACAAUGGACGAAAGUCUGAUGGAGCAACGCCGCGUGAGUGAUGAAGGUUUUCGGAUCGUAAAACUCUGUUGUAAGGGAAGAACACGUACGAGAGGAAAUGCUCGUACCUUGACGGUACCUUACGAGAAAGCCACGGCUAACUACGUGCCAGCCGCCGCCGUAA